Molecule: ribosomal RNA, 292 nt
Filed under: uncultured bacterium
Lineage: Bacteria
Description: partial 16S ribosomal RNA
Source: RNAcentral
GGACUACCCGGGUUUCUAAUCCUGUUUGCUCCCCACGCUGUCGCGCAUCAGCGUCAGCCACAGCCCAGCAGACCGCCUUCGCCACCGGUGUUCUUCCGGAUCUCUACGCAUUCCACCGCUACACCCGGAAUUCCAUCUGCCUCUACUGUGCUCCAGCUUCCCAGUUCGCACGGCCGACUCGGAGUUGAGCCCCGAGCUUUCACCGCACGCUUAAGAAGCCGCCUACGCGCCCUUUACGCCCAGUGAUUCCGGACAACGCUCGCACCCUCCGUAUUACCGCGGCUGCUGGCAC